ACAACUGUAUGCGGUGGAUCACUCGGCUCGUGCGU
Molecule: ribosomal RNA, 35 nt
Filed under: Neverita didyma
Lineage: Eukaryota; Metazoa; Mollusca; Gastropoda; Littorinimorpha; Naticidae
Description: partial 5.8S rRNA
Source: RNAcentral